GGGGCGGGACGGACGGGGGGUUUCUACGGGAGGUAGGAAACGGGCGGCUUGCAAGGCGCGGGCUUAGGCCGGAGCCUGGUGGUGCGAGGUCCCCAGCUCGGAUUUCUCCCUGGUGGAGAGUCCCGGAGCAGAACAAACCAGCAGAGGCUCUGGAAAGGGUCCUCCUGAGCACGUGGCUCAUUCAUUCAUUCGACAAACGUUACCUGAGCGCCUGCCCACUCAUUGCCCGAGUGUGCUGGGAGCGCCGCACCAACUGCCUGGUAGGUGGGAGAAGGGACACGUCAGGUAACAAACAGCACAGGUAAGUGCCGGCCACUCAAAUGGGGUGGAAAGAGGUGGCACAGCGCUGCCGAGGGAGUGCGUUCCAGACAGGUGACCUCUUGCUUGGGUGCUGAAUGAGUGGAGUUUUCCAGAGAGACCAAGAGGAAGCAGCCGCAGAAACCUCAGCCCAGCUGGGCUUGCAGAAGCUAAUGCUAGAAUAGUUGUGGGACUCAGGAUCUGCUGAAGUCGGGGGAAGAGAGAAGUAGGGAAAGGAAAGCCCAGGCCACGCGUGGGGCUCAGGAACGGCAUCCUCGCCCGAGAAAAGAGAGGUUAAAACCAAGACAUGGACAAAGCCUCCGAAUGAAGGCAGCCCUUUAAAUGGAAUAAAUUUGGUUUCAUGGCACAUUAAUGGGGUGUCUUCUCUCCGAAGACACAGAGACAACUACAGUAGGUCUGGGGGCCGUCAGGGAUUGGAGGAACGAAGGUAAGAAAAGGAAGAAGGUAAGAAAAAGAGGUCCCUACCUCUGUGAGGUAGGGACAGUGCUGAACAGCAGGGCUGGGAGAGCCCACAGGGAGGUGGCCAGGAUGGCCACAGGGCCUGGGGAGGACCAGGUGGGGCACCAUCCUGCGGUAGAGAAUGCCCGUCACCUGCCCUAGGGGCCACCCAGAAUGCAGAUUAAAUAAGUAUUUGGGAAUGGCACAGGAGCUUUUCCAUUUUCGUGGGUUAGAGGAAAGCUGCUGCGUUCAAGAGGAUAACGUGGGACCUGAGCAUUCUGGUAAGUCAACCCCACAUUCAUGGAAAGCCACGGGCUCUGUUUUACUGAUAAGGAACUGAAGUCCCACAGAGGAAGUGGCCAGGCUCACUCACACACAGCAUGCACUUGAAGCUUUCUGUGGAAAUCAGAAACCUCCGGGGCUCAGGCGCUGUAGUGGUGGCCUGGUGACUCUGACCCCUUGAAGGAGAAGCAUCUGUGAAGGUGCUGUCCAGGACAAGUAGGGUGCUCUACGGUAAAGGACAUGGUGGCCUGACCUGCUCCAGAGCAGGGAGGCCUCCCUUGAGGAAAUAAGAUAAACCCAGACUUUAAGGAUAAGCAGAAACCAGCUAGGUGAACUGGAGUGGGAACAGCACGUGAAAAGGCCCUGGUUUAGGAAGGAGCACCACUCCUUCAGAGCACAGAAAGGCCAGGAUGGCCGAAGCAUAGGGAACAACAGGAAAGUGACAUAAAUUGAGGCUGCAGAGGUAGAAGAAGGGCCUUAUUGGUCGUGCUAGGAAUUUGGAAUUCUGCAAAGAAGCCUGGGAAACAGAUUUUGGUGACACUCGCCUUCUCUUUAAUGUGCAGUUUCA
This 1606-nucleotide long non-coding RNA is filed under the name Homo sapiens (human). Its description in RNAcentral is "HSALNT0360604". Lineage: Eukaryota; Metazoa; Chordata; Mammalia; Primates; Hominidae. The record is from RNAcentral.